UACGGAGGGAGCUAGCGUUAUUCGGAAUUACUGGGCGUAAAGCGCACGUAGGCGGCUUUGUAAGUCAGAGGUGAAAGCCUGGAGCUCAACUCCAGAACUGCCUUUGAGACUGCAUCGCUUGAAUCCAGGAGAGGUGAGUGGAAUUCCGAGUGUAGAGGUGAAAUUCGUAGAUAUUCGGAAGAACACCAGUGGCGAAGGCGGCUCACUGGACUGGUAUUGACGCUGAGACGCGAAAGCGUGGGGAGCGAACAGG
RNAcentral lists this ribosomal RNA (253 nucleotides) under uncultured bacterium. Its description in RNAcentral is "partial 16S ribosomal RNA". It matches the Rfam family "Bacterial small subunit ribosomal RNA", at positions 524 to 776 of the family's 1533-position model. The record is from RNAcentral.